CGAAAGUGCCUUUCUUGAGCUGGACGAUUGUUGUCUGAAACUCCAAUCAUCCCAGGUCAAAAGGCACUUUCCUCAUCUCGACACCCGAAACGAACCCAAUCCAUCCGUGGAUCGAG
This is a non-coding RNA of Mycobacterium kansasii 732, 116 nucleotides long. NCBI's taxonomy places the organism in Bacteria, Bacillati, Actinomycetota, Actinomycetes, Mycobacteriales, Mycobacteriaceae. The record is from Rfam.